UCAAGCGACUAAGUGCAUAUGGUGGAUGCCUUGGCGAUCACAGGCGAUGAAGGACGUAGUAGCCUGCGAAAAGCUACGGGGAGCUGGCAAACAAGCUUUGAUCCGUAGAUGUCCGAAUGGGGAAACCCACUGCAGCAAUGCAGUAUCCCUAGCUGAAUACAUAGGCUAGUGGAAGCGAACCGGGUGAACUGAAACAUCUCAGUAGCUCGAGGAAAAGAAAUCAACCGAGAUUCCGAAAGUAGUGGCGAGCGAAAUCGGAAGAGCCUUUACGUUUUAGCAUGCAAGAUAAUCGAAGGGGAUGGAAAGCCCCGCCGUAGCAGGUGAUAGCCCUGUAGAUGAAAUUUUGUGUGUGGAACUAAGCGUAAGACAAGUAGGGCGGGACACGUGAAAUCCUGUUUGAAGAUGGGGGGACCAUCCUCCAAGGCUAAAUACUCGUGAUCGACCGAUAGUGAACCAGUACCGUGAGGGAAAGGCGAAAAGAACCCCGGAAGGGGAGUGAAAUAGAUCCUGAAACCGUAUGCAUACAAACAGUAGGAGCCUCCUUGUGGGGUGACUGCGUACCUUUUGUAUAAUGGGUCAGCGACUUACAUUCAGUGGCAAGGUUAACCGAAUAGGGAAGCCGUAGCGAAAGCGAGUCCGAAUAGGGCGAUUCAGUCGCUGGGUGUAGACCCGAAACCAGAUGAUCUAUCCAUGGCCAGGUUGAAGGCACGGUAACACGUGCUGGAGGACCGAACCCACUAAUGUUGAAAAAUUAGGGGAUGAGCUGUGGAUAGGGGUGAAAGGCUAAACAAAUCUGGAAAUAGCUGGUUCUCUCCGAAAACUAUUUAGGUAGUGCCUCAAGUAUUACUGCGGGGGGUAGAGCACUGUUAUAGCUAGGGGGUCAUGGCGACUUACCAAACUAUGGCAAACUCCGAAUACCCGCAAGUACAGCUUGGGAGACAGAGCACCGGGUGCUAACGUCCGGACUCAAGAGGGAAACAACCCAGACCGCCAGCUAAGGUCCCGAAUUAUCGCUAAGUGGGAAACGAAGUGGGAAGGCAUAGACAGUCAGGAGGUUGGCUUAGAAGCAGCCAUCCUUUAAAGAAAGCGUAAUAGCUCACUGAUCGAGUCGUCCUGCGCGGAAGAUGUAACGGGGCUAAGCGAUAAACCGAAGCUGCGGGUGUGCACUUUUAGUGCACGCGGUAGGAGAGCGUUCUGUAAGCCUGCGAAGGUGGCUUGUAAAGGCUGCUGGAGGUAUCAGAAGUGCGAAUGCUGACAUGAGUAGCGAUAAAGGGGGUGAAAAGCCCCCUCGCCGUAAGUCCAAGGUUUCCUGCGCAACGUUCAUCGGCGCAGGGUGAGUCGGCCCCUAAGGCGAGGCAGAGAUGCGUAGCUGAUGGGAAACUGGUUAAUAUUCCAGUACCGUCGUACAGUGCGAUGGGGGGACGGAUCGCGGAAGAUCAUCAGGGUGUUGGAUGUCCCUGUUGCUGCAUCGAAGAUGGCGCUUAGGCAAAUCCGGGCGCGUAAAUCAAGGGUGUGGCACGAGCGAGCAUUGCUUGCGAAGUGAUUGGAAGUGGUUCCAAGAAAAGCCUCUAAGCUUCAGCUGUACGAGACCGUACCGCAAACCGACACAGGUGGACGGGAUGAAUAUUCCAAGGCGCUUGAGAGAACUCAGGAGAAGGAACUCGGCAAAUUGAUACCGUAACUUCGGGAGAAGGUAUACCCCGGUAGUGUGAAGCGCCUGCGCGCUUAGCAUGAUGGGGUCGCAGAGAAUCGGUGGCUGCGACUGUUUAUUAAAAACACAGCACUCUGCAAAGACGAAAGUCGACGUAUAGGGUGUGACGCCUGCCCGGUGCCGGAAGGUUAAGUGAUGGGGUGCAAGCUCUUGAUCGAAGCCCCGGUAAACGGCGGCCGUAACUAUAACGGUCCUAAGGUAGCGAAAUUCCUUGUCGGGUAAGUUCCGACCUGCACGAAUGGCGUAACGAUGGCCACACUGUCUCCUCCUGAGACUCAGCGAAGUUGA
This 1999-nucleotide ribosomal RNA is filed under the name soil metagenome. RNAcentral's name for it is "bacterial LSU rRNA". It matches the Rfam family "Bacterial large subunit ribosomal RNA", at positions 3 to 2045 of the family's 2925-position model. The record is from RNAcentral.